RNAcentral lists this non-coding RNA (27 nucleotides) under Homo sapiens (human). Lineage: Eukaryota; Metazoa; Chordata; Mammalia; Primates; Hominidae. The record is from RNAcentral.
UCUGGAGUGAGUGAUUCUUAGGGGAGC